This 468-nucleotide ribosomal RNA is filed under the name uncultured bacterium. Its description in RNAcentral is "partial 16S ribosomal RNA". It matches the Rfam family "Bacterial small subunit ribosomal RNA", at positions 28 to 507 of the family's 1533-position model. The record is from RNAcentral.
GACGAACGCUGGCGGCGUGCUUAACACAUGCAAGUCGAACGGAAAGGCCCUGCUUUUGUGGGGUGCUCGAGUGGCGAACGGGUGAGUAACACGUGAGUAACCUGCCCUUGACUUUGGGAUAACUUCAGGAAACUGGGGCUAAUACCGGAUAGGAGCUCCUGCUGCAUGGUGGGGGUUGGAAAGUUUCGGCGGUUGGGGAUGGACUCGCGGCUUAUCAGCUUGUUGGUGGGGUAGUGGCUUACCAAGGCUUUGACGGGUAGCCGGCCUGAGAGGGUGACCGGCCACAUUGGGACUGAGAUACGGCCCAGACUCCUACGGGAGGCAGCAGUGGGAAAUAUUGCACAAUGGGCGGAAGCCUGAUGCAACAACGCCGCGUGCGGGAUGACGGCCUUCGGGGGGUAAACCGCUGUCGCAUGUGACGAAGCGUGAGUGACGGUAAUGGGUAAAGAAGCACCGGCUAACUACGUG